Molecule: long non-coding RNA, 1123 nt
Filed under: Nicotiana benthamiana
Lineage: Eukaryota; Viridiplantae; Streptophyta; Magnoliopsida; Solanales; Solanaceae
Description: long non-coding RNA (NBEN_LNC035660)
Source: RNAcentral
UUAUAAUUGAAUUUCCCUCUACUGCUUCUUCUUCUUUGAUUCCUCGUCUGAGCUUUCUUCACUCUUUAAUGGUGAAACUUAAUAUAGCAUCAAAGCUCGAGUAGAUCAAUCGAAGCUAGGGAUUAAUUCAUUAAUUCGUCUUCUGAAACCAUUGAUACAAAUUUAGCUCUAUUUUCUAGAGAUCAACCAUGGCAAAUUUUGAUAUUAUAAUCCUCAUCAUCAUUUGUAUUUGCUAACCAUCCGAUAAUCCUGGCAAUGCCAUUAUAUCGAUUUAGCUAAAAGGAACUGAAAUUUUUUUCAGUUUGAAGCAAGGCGAUGGUGCUUACAUUGCGAGCAAAAUGCAAACUAGGGUUCAUCAAUAGGAGCUCUACCAUGGCGCAAUACAUUGCCAAUUUGGGGAAGAAUGAGAGUGAGUAAAUGCUACAGUUCUAACAUGGAUUAUGAACUCAAUAUCACCAGAAUUGGUAACUGAAAUUGUGUAUGCGAGUGAUGCUCCUGAAGUUUAGAUGGAUUUACCGGGUCAUUUUGACAAGGUCAAUGGCUCCAGAAUUUAUAACCUUCAACGAGAAAUAUAUACAAUUUCUCAAGUUACUUCUAGUAUCUCAAUGUAUCAUUCCAGAAUGAAAUCACUGUGGAUGAGUACUAUUCCAUGAUACCUUCACUUUUUGUUAAGGUUGGGACCAGAGAUUUUAUCAAACACUUGGAGCGGCAGAAAAUUUUCAGCUUUUAAUGGGUUUAAAUAAAUCCUAUAAUGCUAUUAAGAGUCAUAUCUUCAAUUCCAUCACCUUCUUUUAGUCAUGCUUAUGCAAUGUUGAUAAAUGAAGAAACCAAAGAAGAGUAUUUGAGACCAAUUCACAUGUCAAUGUGGUAAAUGAAGUGAAUGAUUCCAAAAUAUUCAUGAUUUCUAGAGAUAAUCCUACAAAGUUUAUGAAGUUCAACAAUUUGUAUUGUGAGUAUUGUCGAAAAUAAAGGUCAUACCUAGGAUACUUGUUAAGUUAGUUGGAUAUCCACCUAGUUUCAAACGGAAAAGACAACAACAAUAUAUUUAAGCUAACAUGGUUAUUAAUGAUAGCGUUCUAGAAAAGGUGAUACGAUAAAUAAAGACAAUACUGGGUGAAUCAAG